Molecule: ribosomal RNA, 237 nt
Filed under: uncultured bacterium
Lineage: Bacteria
Description: partial 16S ribosomal RNA
Rfam family: Bacterial small subunit ribosomal RNA
Source: RNAcentral
UGAGUAACCUGCCCUUAACUCUGGGAUAAGCCUAGGGAAAACUGGGUCUAAUACCGGAUAUGACUCCUCAUCGCAUGGGUGGGGGGUGGAAAGCUUUAUUGUGGUUUUGGAUGGACUCGCGGCCUAUCAGCUUGUUGGUGAGGUAAUGGCUCACCAAGGCGACGACGGGUAGCCGGCCUGAGAGGGUGACCGGCCACACUGGGACUGAGACACGGCCCAGACUCCGUACGGGAGCAG